UCGAAUUAUGCAUAUAAUUGCAGUAUCGUCAAUCACGGUGCGAAUAUACAACUUUCGGGAGUGAACGGUGGCCAAGUUUGAGUGGAAAAUCAAAUAAUUUCUUAAUUUACUGAAGUUUUCUGGGGCGACUUGAACUUUGAGUUCACCGAUCGAAUCAUCAGUGCAACGACAGCUGUCAUGGAGCUAAAAAUUGUCUCGGCGGGUUCAGAGUACAAUCGAUUCAAUUGGAGCGGCAGUCUCCGUUUGGCCGAUGACGAAUGACGCCCUUAAGGCGAUUUGGGAAAUCGGCCAUUUCCGUUUUCUCCAAAACUCAUAAUGUUUCUUAAAUUUUGAUUACUGCGUGUGCUCAAGGUUUCUCGUUCCAUGAGCCGAGGAGACGUGCGCAGUUCGAUCUCACGAACGAUGAUUUACGAAGCCGCGAAUUUGGGAAGAGCCAUUAUCAGUCAGAGUUUUAGAGCGAUGAACUCAAGAUAAAAAUUUCAAGGUGUUAAAAUAUCGCUUCUCUGAUACUCUCAAAAUUACGUCAAAUACGUAACAACGAAUUUUUUCGUCUGAUUAUUUUAUAAAUUCAUUUUGGGGGAAUGAAUGUUUUGGCCGCGUGUUCGAUUUGCUGCAACAAUUGCAAAUACCAUUUUCAUCUAAAUAAGCAAUGUGAAUGAACGGUUUUUCAUUCAGGAAGGACGUGUCGUGAAUGUGAGCUUUCAAUGUAGAAAAUAUCAUUCGACGAUGUUCGAGUGAGACGAUCGACGGAGUGACGAGUUACCUGCGCUAGAAAAUUAUGAAGUAAAAUCGAAUCCAUUGGAAAGAGUACAAAUCAUUUAGAAAUUUUCGAUCCCACUUUUAUCGAAAACGUCUUUCGAUCAUUCGAUGGUUUUUUUAGAAGACGUUUCGAAAAAAACUUUAUUCCAAAAACUUUCGAGAUUCUGAGAUAUUCGAGUUUCCAAGAGUUUCGUUUUUCCGUCACGGAUAUCUGUGCACGGUAUUUACAGAGGAUUAACCAUAGAAUUGAUCGUCGAUAGAGCGCGAUAAAAGUGUCAAGCCAUAAAUCGGUACUCGCCGCGACGCGCCAGACAUUUCAGUUUGGAUCACGAUAAUCUUUCUUGCUCCCGAUGACUCGCGAUAAAGAUUUUAAUCCUGAUCAACAAUCAUUCUCAUACCGCUGUCAAGCUGAUUGGGCCAGGCGACCUUUGCCUUUAUAAUUAUUUUUGUCGACAUUUUGUUCUAAAAAAAAAAAAAAAAAAAAAAAAAAAAUAAAACGAAUGAAAGCAAAAAAAAAUACGAAUUGAAAACACGUGACAAGCCAAGUGGCCAAUCGCGCUCGUUCAGUUUGUUGAACCUCUGCCAAAAGAGCAAAAUCGGUGCCGAGAGCUCGGCUUAUGCGUAGAAUAUGUACAACGCGCUUACGGAUUGUUUGUCGUCGAAGGUGGGACGAACUGGAUGUAACCGGAUUCGCACAUCGAUGUAUACGUCUUUCGUAACAAUUUGUUCGAAAUUUUCUACUCCAAGUCUGACAAUGCCAAAAUUGGAAGCAAUUAUCUUAUCUGACAAUCUCAAGUUUCAUGCGACAAUGGGACUGUUAUAGCAAGUAUCUCAAACUACUUUUUGGUUUAAAUCAAUAAAGAUCGAGGCAUUUCAACAAAGUGUUAAGAUUUUAAUGAUAAAUAAAAAAAGCAUACGAAUUGUAA
Long non-coding RNA from Venturia canescens, 1685 nucleotides. RefSeq lists it as uncharacterized. The record is from RefSeq and is a predicted model, not a curated record. NCBI's taxonomy places the organism in Eukaryota, Metazoa, Arthropoda, Insecta, Hymenoptera, Ichneumonidae. The transcript has 2 exons.